Long non-coding RNA from Ictidomys tridecemlineatus (thirteen-lined ground squirrel), 1242 nucleotides. RefSeq lists it as uncharacterized. NCBI's taxonomy places the organism in Eukaryota, Metazoa, Chordata, Mammalia, Rodentia, Sciuridae. The record is from RefSeq and is a predicted model, not a curated record.
GUUGUUGAGACUGGCCUCAAACUUGAGAUUCUCCUACCCUAACUUCCUGAGUUGCUGGAAUUAUAGGUGUUAAUCAUUAUUGUUAUCAUAGGUUUUAAAUAGAUACUUCUGACAGUUCUGCCAUAUUGGCUCUCUAGCCUCUGGAGUCACCCAAAUUAUGACAGUGAAAAUGGAGCAGGUGAAGUCAUUCCAUUGUCCCUAUAGCUUUGGAAGUAUGUUUGGACCUCCAUAGGGACUUUGUAAUGAAGUGAAGAAAUUUCAUUUAUCAGUGGGAUGCUUCCAUUCUGUUUCCUCCAGGAUCAAGGCAUCACAGGAAGAUGAACAGAGUAGAAUGUGAGGACAUGAACAGGUGGGCCAAGGCGGAUCGUCCCAAGAAUCAAAUAACAUUGUUUCUCAACAGUGCUCAACUCUGCCUACCUCUAUUAUCAAGCAUUUGGUUAUAUUCUCCAUUUCUGUUUUUUUCAUCCUUUGAGAACUACAAGACUGACUGACUUCUGGGCUCAGCAGUGAAAACCUGUAAUCCCAGCAACUUGGGAAGCUGAUGGAUUGCAAAUUCAAGCACAAUUCCAGCAAGGCCUGAGCCAGCAAAUGGAGAAAAGCGAUCAAAAGCGAUCGGACAACCGUACCGAAUCACAAACACAAAGAGGGCCAUUCCCCGUAAUUAGGUGGCAUCGUGGGCAGCUGUAACCAUUGCUGGAGUUCCUCUGCAGCUUUCUGAACAACUGCAGCUUCCAUGACAAGGAGCACCAACCCUCAAAGAGCUCAUGACCUGCAAGGGGCACCCACUGCCACUCUCACCCCACUUUCAUUUCAAGCCCCGUCACCUUCAUGUCUCUCUGCCUCUUCUGCAGCCCUAUUCUCUCUCCUGGAUGAUUCCUGGCUUUUAAAACAGAAAAGUGGCCCAUCAGCUGCCAAGGCCAGAAGCCCCAACUGGCCACACUCCAUGUGACUCAGAGGUUGGCCACUUAAUGAACAAACAGCCCCAGGAUUGCAGCCCAUUACAGGGAUUACUUGGGGCAAUGCAGUAACAAACUUGGUCAUAACCAGGGACAAAGGAAUGCAGGGGAGAGUGGCAGUUGGGAUCGCAAUUAAACUCAAGCUCUGAGCAGAACUGGCUCGCACAUAUUUUUAUCCUUAUCUUGCCCUCUGCUUUCUGUCAAUCUCUACCUGAUGCUUUUGAAAGUGACCUCAAGGAAACAAUUAUGUAGAAUCCAAGGAGCCCAAAACUCAAGUCAUCAGAGU